GGAGACUUUAUUCUGAAGUGAUCCUUUGCCACAGGAGCCAGGCUCAUCUAAUUAUAGACAUGCUGACAGUACUAAAGUCUUCCAGCUGAAGAGGAAGUGAAACUUCUUGUUGAACAUGGGAGCUAAAAGUUGUGAAACACUGCACAAAACCAGAUACGGACAUUUGAUCAUGAAAUAACCAGUUUCGUAGCUUUGCUGGAACCAAUGAUUUGCAGUUUAAAGAUCCAGAGACACUUAGACAUUAACAUCUGCUUUUUAGAAAAACAGAAGCAUAACUUUAUUUCUCUGCAGGUGAGCAAAGCAGGUGUUUUUUAGGGCAUCUAACGAACAUGAGCAGGGCAGACAGCUGGCAUAAAGUGGGCGCUGCAGGGGUCCUAACCUUAGAUUACAGUUUAGCAGAUUAGAGCUAAGCAGCAACCACCUUAAGCUCACCAGCCCCAUGAAACUCACGCUUCUAGCCAACAGAGCGUGCACAAAAACAUCCGCACACAAACACACACCCACUGGCACAGCUGUAGAACACAAUUAAAUUAGUGCAUUUGGCAGACGGUGUGCAAACCUAGCUUUGCACCAUACACACAUUAAAUCACAGGCAUAAAGAUGUGCACAUACACACAUAGUCUGGGCUAGAGGACAGAUGCUACGCCCUCCCCUCCUCCCGUCAUCCUCUCAAAGCCAGCUGGAGAGAAGAUGAGAUUUGGGGCUGAUUGGUUUUGUCUAUUUUUCCAUCACGCCCUGUGCGCCUCACUCCAUCCACCACUUUCGCCUUUCCACGGCACAGCCUCAUCCAUGGACAAAUAGUCAUCAUAAAAAUCUGGCAUCUGCACCAGUUUGAAAUAAACAGUGACAGGACUUCUUGACUGAUUUUUCUUUCUGAACUGUGGAUGUCAAAUUGGUGAGACAUCAGUGAGGUGAUAGAA
Molecule: long non-coding RNA, 920 nt
Organism: Oreochromis aureus
Lineage: Eukaryota; Metazoa; Chordata; Actinopteri; Cichliformes; Cichlidae
Source: Ensembl